Molecule: long non-coding RNA, 2721 nt
Organism: Oryzias melastigma (Indian medaka)
Lineage: Eukaryota; Metazoa; Chordata; Actinopteri; Beloniformes; Adrianichthyidae
Exons: 3
Source: RefSeq, a predicted model, not a curated record
AGAGCUGCUUCAUCUCCCUCUGCUGUGGAGAAGCUUCAGUGACACCUACUGGUGCACCGACGGGUCUGACCUAGUGAUUACAAUGUUUUUGUCAACGUUUCAGGAGGUGUGUGUGUGUGGGACUGAAUGUGAGAGUGCGUGACAAAUAAGAAUCUGCAUAGGAUGAAGUGUGAUUUAUGCAGAUGUGGACGCUUCUCCAGCAUGAUGCAGGGAGUCACCAUUAACAUCACAAAUGUGAUGUCAUGCCUCCACCUAGUGUUCAGCAGAGUUUUCUGGCUUCAAUUUGAAAUCCAACCAAAAACAUGAGCGCAACUGAAAUAUUUACUGUAUUUUACCAUUUUAUCUAAUAUUUAUUCCACAUGAACAAAAGCUCCAUGUUUAACCAGAAUUUGGAUUAUACAAUUAAUUGAUUGUGAUGAUGUAUAUUUAAUUAAAGUUAAGGUAAAAGCCGUUAAAUCAGUUUAAGAAGAAGAAAAAUAAUUUUAUUUGAUCGAAUUAUGUUGUUGACAGCUUAGAACAGCUGUGGGCUAACUUUAAGACUAAAAGCUGAAAAUCUGACAUGAAUGCCGAAUCAGGAGCAGAUUUGUGGCAUGUUUUGGUAAUCCACAAAAAAAUAAUAUGGAAUCUGGACAAAAACAUACUUUAGUUCUUAUUAAAAUUUCAAAUUUAAAGUUUAAAACUGUUAAAAAACUGUGGCUUUUGUUCUUAGUGCCAAUAUCACCAAUUUAUGUGGUGUUGCAACAAUAGAAAAACUACUGUCUGACCCAGAAAAUACACAUGAACGUCAGAAAAACAACAAAUCUUUCAACGCUACAUGAAUUCAAAAUAACUUCCUGCACCUAAACAAACAUCAAUUAAUUUGUUGAAUGUGAUUUAUGGAGAGACAUCAGAAUUACAGGGCAAAAUAAUACAUUAUUAAUUAGAUUUUUGAUUUGAAAAAUUUCCAGCAAUCAAAAAAUUGCUUAAAAAGAAGUAAGAGGAAGCGAACUUAUAUAAUCCCCCCGGCUCGACUAUAACAUUUCCUUUACAUGAAUUAUUUUUUAAGGAUUAUCAAUAUGAUUUAUUCCUGUUUGGUGGGCCAGAUUACAUAGUUUAACGGCCUGCAUAUGGCCAGUUUUCCCAUCCCUGGCGUAGAUCGAUGGUCUGUAGCCAUAAAUACUUGGAGCCAUUCGGGCGGAUUUCUCGCCGACUCAGGAAGAGCCACAAAGUCUUACUUAACUUUUUAGAAAAACAAAAAACUGAUUUGUAUUUAUCACAUAGUGACUGUUAUGAUGCCACAAAAAGGAAUUGACUUUUUUCAAAAUAUGUAAUGAUUUAUGGCCACAUGACUUUCUUUCAAAGCAAAAGUCAGCAGAAAUAAAGAAAAAUAUAGUUAAUUUCAUCAUUUUGUGGUUAAUCUCAGGCAUAAAUUCACAAAUCUAAUCAACUAAUCAGAGCUUAACUAAGUGAGCCUUACUGUAUUUUUUGAUCCAACAGAAAAAAUUACAAUCCAUGAAAUUGCACCUUUUGCUUAUUGACCUCAAUUGAUUUUCUGUUGUCUUUUGGUUUGGAUGGAUGAAGGAUUGAUGGAGAACAUAGUCAGAAACCUCAGCGGAGGGAUACACAUUUUCUUGCAACUGUUUGCGAAUGAGUUGAAUAAAGUUGGAGUUUUUUUUUACUUUACAGUUACUUUUUAAACCUAAAACCUUUUUUUCUUUUACCAGAGAGACACAAUGGACAGGUAUGGAUGGACAGAUAACAUGAAAUGAAAGAUCUAAGAAACAGAAUCCAAGUUUAUUUCACGGUUAGCCUUCAAAACUUUUCAACAGCGUCUAAAUAACCUACACCUUCAGGGUUUUUUACUUUUUCCAGGAUUUUCCUUCUCCUCACCCACUGCUGAGUACCUGGAUCAACGUUGUCCAGCCAAUCAGGAACUGAAAUGGUCUGUUCCUCAAAAUCUGCUCCAUUCCUGUGGAGGAUCAGGAUCUGUAAACAAGAGGCACACGUGUUUUCAGCUUUACCAAACUCCACACAAAGGUCACAUGUUCCACUUCAGAAACUACACCAUUUGAAAAGGAUUUGUCACUCCAACAAUUGGAGGAAUCAGAGAAAAAAUGGAGAGGAUCAGUGUUAGUAAAAGGAUGCUGCUGUAAGAGGCCUGGAGGAGGACCAAAGAGGAGGUUCAUGGAUGCAGUGAAGUAGGACAUGAGGUGGAUCCACAGGAUGGAGGCGGGAUGCGUCAGGAGGAAGCGACCUCGAUCAAUUCUGGAAGAAAGUCAAGAGGUCGAGCAGAGCCGCGCGCACGUGUGGGUUGAAGCUACAUCUGGAUGUGUGUUUACUUGUCUGGCUGCAGUACAAACACCGGCCGCUAGGGCGCGCGCUGCAACUUCCGCAGACUUGCAGCAGGAUCUGCAUCAGCCGGAAAAAAAGCUAACGAGCGGAAGCCGCAACAACAGGAAACGAAAUGGCGAGACUUCAAAAUAAAACGCCAAUUUCUGAAUGUAUAGAUUUUAAAACACAGAGUGGAAUUAUUUGAUGCCACGCAAACACAAAUAAAUGUUUAAGAUUAAUUUUCGGUGUCAAGAUAAAAUUAUAACAGUUAGUAAAAAACGGAAGUCAUAAACAAGUAAAUAUUAUAUUCGAUUCUGGUUUAGAAUAUGUUAAAUAAUAUAAACGUAGCUAUUUAUUGUAAUUUAAUUGGAGUGUAUAUUAUGUGCUUAACAUGGAACUACAAUAAAUUAU